UCUAAGCUCUAAAAAUGAAAAUAUAUUUCCUAUAUUA
RNAcentral lists this transfer RNA (37 nucleotides) under Gastrostomobdella monticola. Its description in RNAcentral is "partial tRNA-Leu". The record is from RNAcentral. Lineage: Eukaryota; Metazoa; Annelida; Clitellata; Hirudinida; Gastrostomobdellidae.